CCCUUAGAUGUCCGGGGCCGCACGCGCGCUACACUGAAGGAAUCAGCGUGGCUUUCUCCCUGACCCGAAAGGGUUGGGAAACCCGUUGAAUCUCCUUCGUGAUAGGGAUUGGGGCUUGAAAUUGUUCCCCAUGAACGAGGAAUUCCCAGUAAGCGCGAGUCAUAAGCUCGCGUUGAUUACGUCCCUGCCCUUUGUACACACCGCCCGUCGCUACUACCGAUUGAACGGUUUAGUGAGGGCCUCGGAUUGGUCUCGGCCCGCUCUUCACCGGGCGGCGCCGUUGGUCGAGAAGACGCUCGAACUUGAUCGUUUAGAGGAAGUAAAAGGCGUAACA
RNAcentral lists this ribosomal RNA (334 nucleotides) under uncultured eukaryote. RNAcentral's name for it is "partial 18S ribosomal RNA". It matches the Rfam family "Eukaryotic small subunit ribosomal RNA", at positions 1470 to 1796 of the family's 1831-position model. The record is from RNAcentral.